RNAcentral lists this ribosomal RNA (911 nucleotides) under Aspergillus tamarii. RNAcentral's name for it is "LSU rRNA". It matches the Rfam family "Eukaryotic large subunit ribosomal RNA", at positions 38 to 964 of the family's 3401-position model. Lineage: Eukaryota; Fungi; Ascomycota; Eurotiomycetes; Eurotiales; Aspergillaceae. The record is from RNAcentral.
GCUAAUCAAUAAGCGGAGGAAAAGAAACCAACCGGGAUUGCCUCAGUAACGGCGAGUGAAGCGGCAAGAGCUCAAAUUUGAAAGCUGGCUCCUUCGGGGUCCGCAUUGUAAUUUGCAGAGGAUGCUUCGGGUGCGGCCCCUGUCUAAGUGCCCUGGAACGGGCCGUCAGAGAGGGUGAGAAUCCCGUCUGGGAUGGGGUGUCCGCGCCCGUGUGAAGCUCCUUCGACGAGUCGAGUUGUUUGGGAAUGCAGCUCUAAAUGGGUGGUAAAUUUCAUCUAAAGCUAAAUACUGGCCGGAGACCGAUAGCGCACAAGUAGAGUGAUCGAAAGAUGAAAAGCACUUUGAAAAGAGAGUUAAAAAGCACGUGAAAUUGUUGAAAGGGAAGCGCUUGCGACCAGACUCGCCUCCAGGGUUCAGCCGGCAUUCGUGCCGGUGUACUUCCCUGGGGGCGGGCCAGCGUCGGUUUGGGCGGCCGGUCAAAGGCUCCCGGAAUGUAGUGCCCUUCGGGGCACCUUAUAGCCGGGAGUGCAAUGCGGCCAGCCUGGACCGAGGAACGCGCUUCGGCACGGACGCUGGCAUAAUGGUCGCAAACGACCCGUCUUGAAACACGGACCAAGGAGUCUAACAUCUACGCGAGUGUUCGGGUGUCAAACCCGUACGCGCAGUGAAAGCGAACGGAGGUGGGAGCCCCCUCGCGGGGCGCACCAUCGACCGAUCCUGAUGUCUUCGGAUGGAUUUGAGUAAGAGCGUAAAUGUGGGGACCCGAAAGAUGGUGAACUAUGCCUGAAUAGGGCGAAGCCAGAGGAAACUCUGGUGGAGGCUCGCAGCGGUUCUGACGUGCAAAUCGAUCGUCAAAUUUGGGUAUAGGGGCGAAAGACUAAUCGAACCAUCUAGUAGCUGGUUCCUGCCAA